This is an RNA transcript of Populus euphratica (Euphrates poplar), 2985 nucleotides long. It is a transcript of the gene named receptor-like serine/threonine-protein kinase SD1-8, with no coding region annotated. The record is from RefSeq and is a predicted model, not a curated record. Lineage: Eukaryota; Viridiplantae; Streptophyta; Magnoliopsida; Malpighiales; Salicaceae. The transcript has 9 exons.
CCAGUAUGUAAUUUGGAUCCAUUUUGUCCUCUUCUAUUUGCCUGAAAGCUGAACAUGCUAUUAUUCCAUGUCAGGGUACUAAGAUGCAUGUAAAACGAGCUAGAAGUGCAGACAUAUGAGGGCCAAAGAAAGAUGAAAAGACUGCUUCCACCGUCCAUUCAUGCGUUGCCCCACGGGCCACUGAUUCUUAAAUGAAAGUUCAUCGUAAAACAAUGGCCUACAAAAAUUGACAUCAUUUGGCAUUUUCCUCACAAGCCUUUGAUAUCUAAUGAUGGCUAGAUUUUAUUUGAUGUAGGGCUUAUAGUCCACCAUAUCCAACUUCAGAUGAUAUUUUUAGCUGCUGUGGAUCAUACACGGAUGUGAAGCCUUUCUAGUCAUUAAUUGCAGAUAUCUUUCUUUCAGCCUCACAAAUAGAUAAUGGGGUUCUGUGUUUUCCUGCUUUUAAUGUCAAUCUCUGUUUCUCUAGUGCCAAUCGGUGCAGGAGAAGGGAUUAUAGUUCCAGGCAGAUAUGUCAGUGCAAAUCAAUCCAUAAUUUCUGCUAGUGGAACUUUUGCUCUAGGCUUCUUUAGUGUGGGAAAUUCAACUCCAAGGUACUAUCUUGGCAUUUGGUAUAACAAAAUUCAGAAGAAAUCUGUUGUCUGGGUUGCGAAUAGAGAAUCCCCUACUGAUUCUCUAGGAACUUUCUCACUCGGGGUCGAUGGAAAUCUAGUGGUUCUGGAUGCAACAGGGAAAAUUGUUUGGUCAUCCAAUGUAAAGAUUGCUCAUUCAGCUAUAAAUAGCAUGAUGGGUGUCCUAACGGAUAGUGGAAACUUUUUAUUGAGAAGUGGGGAAACCAUCCUGUGGCAGAGCUUUGAUCAUCCGUCGGAUACGUUCUUGCCUGGCAUGAAAGUUGGCAAUAAUCGCAAAACUGGUCAAAGAAGGCAGCUUACAUCUUGGAUAGACGCUGAAGAUCCACAACCAGGAUUAUUCUCUUUCGGCUUGGAUACGACGGGACCUCUGCAGUUUUUCAUAUGGAAGGAUCAUGUUCCUUAUAGCCGAACCAAUGUCUACAGCAAUUCUAUGUCAUUAACGAAGUUAUCCCGAUGGCUACCUUUUGCUUAUUACGUUACUGUGAAGUUAGAGGGUGAUGAUAUUUAUCUUUCUUACAGUAUCUCAGAUAUCUCAGUUAUAUUAAGGAUCACACUAGUCCCAAAUGGGCGACUUGAGGCUCUGAUAUGGGAGGAGAAAAACAGUAAAUGGUUUUCUAUAUGGCAGUGGCCUCAAGUUUACUGUGAUUUCUAUGGUCAUUGCAGUCCAUUUAGUAGCUGUGACAAAAAAGGUUCUCCAGUUUAUUGCCAAUGUUUGACAGGUUUCCAGCCAAAAGCUCAGCAAGAGUGGCAUAUGAGGAAUUGGACUAGUGACACUUGUGUGAGGCAAAAGGCACUAACAUGUGACAAGGAUGAUGGGUUUUUGAAGAUUGAAACUAUAAAAUUACCAGAUCAUUCGUAUCUAGUGGAAAAUAUGAGUGCCAAUGAUUGUGAAUCAAGAUGCCUACAAAAUUGCUCUUGCACAGCUUAUGCACUUGUCAAUGCAAGUCAAGGAAAUUCAAUUAACUGCCUGAGCUGGUAUGGGGACUUGAUGGAUAUUGUACAUGACAUUGGAGGGCAAAUUCUUUACGUUCGUGUUCAUGACAGAGAACUUGUUGAAAAUGAUGGAAGUAGUGAUAACUUUUCCAGUAGACGCAAGCGCUCUAUUAUAAUUCUAGUAGCAGUAAUUUCUUUAGGGGUUCUUGCUAUUCUAUCUGGCUAUUUCACCUGGAGAAAAAGAUUUGGAAAACAAGAGAUAAUUGAAGGGAGUUUUUCUGGGACCAGCACCCCCAUUGGAGGUGAAGCUGGUAAUGGUGACACGAAGCUGAACAUAUUUAGCUUGAACAGAAUACAGGCCGCCACAAAUGACUUCUCUGAAGAUAAUAGACUGGGAGAGGGUGGUUUUGGCACUGUUUAUAAGGGGGAUUUGGCAUUUCAAGAAGUUGCAAUAAAAAGGCUUUCUAAGAAAUCUGGACAAGGACUAGAAGAGUUCAUGAAUGAGUCAAAACUUAUUUCUAAGCUCCAACACACUAAUCUGGUGAGGCUCUUAGGUUGCUGUGCUGAAGGGGAGGAGAGAAUAUUGGUGUACGAAUACAUGCGGAAUCGAAGCCUGGAUAAGUUUUUGUUUGAUCCUUCUGAAAAGGCAAACCUUAAUUGGAGCAAACGUUUUCGAAUUAUCGAAGGCAUUGCACAAGGUCUACUUUACCUUCACAAGUACUCUAGAUUAAAAGUGAUCCACAGGGACCUAAAGGCAAGUAACAUAUUACUGGACGAUGCAAUGCAUCCUAAGAUUUCAGAUUUUGGAUUGGCAAGGAUGUUUGGAUCUGACCAAACCGAAGCAGAUACCAAACGGGUGGUUGGUACUUAUGGCUACAUGUCACCCGAAUAUGCACAGUAUGGAAAAUUCUCAGAAAAAUCAGAUGUCUUCAGCUUUGGAGUUUUGCUAUUAGAGAUUGUGACCGGUAAGAGAAAUGCUGAAUUUUUUCGCAACGAUCUUCCUCAAACCCUUCAAGGAUGGGCAUGGGAAUUGUGGAAUGAAGCUAGAGGACUAGACCUUAUCGAUCCAUCGAUAAAGGACUCACGUGAAAGUCCUGACAGAAUUUUCAGGUGCAUCCAUGUAGGGCUUUUGUGUGUGCAGGAGUCUCCAGCUGAUAGACCUACGAUGCCAUUAGCGGUUCAGAUGUUGAGCAAUGACAAUGCAUCACUUCCUUCUCCAAAAGAACCUGCAUUCUCUAGUCUUAGUCGUCGGAGAUCUGGCAAUUUUGUUGCCUUUCAUAACACAUCAACUAUAUAUUCUAACAACGAAUUGACAAUUAGCCUGCCUGAGGCUCGAUAAGACUUUCCAGGUUUUUCAUUCACUUGACAUGUAAAUACAUUGAAAUUCAUCAAUAUUUCAAGUAUCAAAAUUUACUGGCUCAUA